RNAcentral lists this RNase P RNA (301 nucleotides) under bovine gut metagenome. Its description in RNAcentral is "Bacterial RNase P class A". It matches the Rfam family "Bacterial RNase P class A", at positions 38 to 361 of the family's 367-position model. Rfam says of the family: Ribonuclease P (RNase P) is a ubiquitous endoribonuclease, found in archaea, bacteria and eukarya as well as chloroplasts and mitochondria. Its best characterised activity is the generation of mature 5'-ends of tRNAs by cleaving the 5'-leader elements of precursor-tRNAs. The record is from RNAcentral.
UAUGUGAGGAACUUCCGAGCACCACAGAGUAAGGACGCCGGGUAACGCCCGGUGAAGGCGACUUCAAGGAAAGUGCAACAGAGAUAUACCGCAUCAGAAAUGGUGUAAGGGUGGAAAGGCGAGGUAAGAGCUCACCAGGAUCAUUGGUAACUUUGAUCCUCUGUAAACCCCGUCCGGUGCAAGAUUGAUAUAGGAGCAUUUAAUAGUUACUCGCUAAGCUUCGUGUAAUCGCUGGAACCUGCUGGUAACAGCAGGUCAAGAUAGAUGGCCAUAUAAACAGAACUCGGGGUAUGGAUUCACU